Molecule: small nuclear RNA, 305 nt
Filed under: Prolemur simus (greater bamboo lemur)
Lineage: Eukaryota; Metazoa; Chordata; Mammalia; Primates; Lemuridae
Description: 7SK RNA (ENSPSMG00000005347.1)
Rfam family: 7SK RNA
About the family: 7SK was discovered as an abundant small nuclear RNA in the mid-70s but a possible function has only recently been suggested. Two independent studies have found that 7SK RNA binds the CDK9/cyclin T complex (known as elongation factor P-TEFb).
Source: RNAcentral
GGAUGUGAUGGCCAUCUGGCUGUGACAUCUGUCACCCCAUUGAUCGCCCGGGUUGAUUCGGCUGAUCUGGCUGGCUAGGUGGGUGUCCCCUUCCUCCCUCACUGCUCCAUGUGCGUCCCUCCCGAAGCCCCGAGUCUGUCUCAGAGGACGACCUUCCCCAAUAGAGGAGGACCGUGCUUCGGCCAAGGGUAUACGAGUAGCUGCGCUCCCCUGCCGUGUCCUCCAAACAAGCUCUCGAGAGUCCACGAUUCCAAAAACCCACUACUCUGAGGUUCCGUGGCCAGCAGAAGGGGUGCGUGGCCACU